UUCGUUAACGAACGAGACCUCGACCUGCUAAAUAGUUCAGCGAAUUCUAGAAUUCGUCCGUGACUUCUUAGAGGGACUAUCGGUGAUUUAGCCGAUGGAAGUUCGAGGCAAUAACAGGUCUGUGAUGCCCUUAGAUGUCCUGGGCCGCACGCGCGCUACACUGAUACGUUCAUCGAGUUUACAACCUUGGUUGAGAGGCCUGGGUAAUCUUUUGAAACCGUAUCGUGCUGGGGAUAGAUCAUUGUAAUUAUUGAUCUUCAACGAGGAAUUCCUAGUAAACGCGAGUCAUCAACUCGCAUUGAUUACGUCCCUGCCCUUUGUACACACCGCCCGUCGCUAAUACCGAUUGAAUGGAUU
RNAcentral lists this ribosomal RNA (357 nucleotides) under Eukaryota sp. RNAcentral describes it as "SSU rRNA". It matches the Rfam family "Eukaryotic small subunit ribosomal RNA", at positions 1324 to 1699 of the family's 1831-position model. The record is from RNAcentral.